GCCCUAUGGGUUUUAAACUGCUUUUGUAUGGGAAGAACAGCAGGUACGUGUACCUGUAUGCCGGUACCAUACGAAUAAGCAUCGGCUAACUCCGUGCCAGCAGCCGCGGUAAUACGGAGGAUGCGAGCGUUAUCCGGAAUUAUUGGGUUUAAAGGGUGCGUAGGCGGAAAAGUAAGUCAGUGGUGAAAUUUUGCAGCUUAACUGAAAAAUAGCCAUUGAAACUGUUUUUCUUGAGUAUAGAUGAGGUAUGCGGAAUGAGUAGUGUAGCGGUGAAAUGCAUAGAUAUUACUCAGAACACCAAUUGCGAAGGCAGCGUACUAAACUAUAACUGACGCUGAAGCACGAAAGCGUGGGUAUCAAACAGGAUUAGAUACCCUGGUAGUCCACGCUGUAAACGAUGAUUACUGGUUGUUUGCGAUAGACAGUAAGCGACUGAGCGAAAGCAUUAAGUAAUCCACCUGGGGAGUACGUCGGCAACGAUGAAACUCAAAGGAAUUGACGGGGGCCCGCACAAGCGGUGGAACAUGUGGUUUAAUUCGAUGAUACGCGAGGAACCUUACCUGGGCUUAAAUGGGAUCUGACGUUAAUAGAAAUAUUAAUUUCUUCGGACAGGUUUCAAGGUGCUGCAUGGUUGUCGUCAGCUCGUGCCGUGAGGUGUCGGGUUAAGUCCCAUAACGAGCGCAACCCCUGUUGUCAGUUACCAGCAUAUAAAGAUGGGAACUCUGACAAGACUGCCGGUGUAAGCCGCGAGGAAGGUGGGGAUGACGUCAAAUCAGCACGGCCCUUACGUCCAGGGCUACACACGUGUUACAAUGGCCGGUACAAAGGGCAGCUACACAGCAAUGUGAUGCAAAUCUCGAAAACCGGUCCCAGUUCGGAUUGGAGUCUGCAACCCGACUCCAUGAAGCUGGAAUCGCUAGUAAUCGCGCAUCAGCCAUGGCGCGGUGAAUACGUUCCCGGGCCUUGUACACACCGCCCGUCAAGCCAUGGAAGCCGGGCGUACCUGAAGUAUGUAACCGCAAGGAGCGUCCUAGGGUAAAACCGGUGACUGGGGCU
RNAcentral lists this ribosomal RNA (1056 nucleotides) under uncultured bacterium. RNAcentral's name for it is "bacterial SSU rRNA". It matches the Rfam family "Bacterial small subunit ribosomal RNA", at positions 413 to 1482 of the family's 1533-position model. The record is from RNAcentral.